GCCAGCAUGGUGCAGUGGUCUGAAUGCUGGACUAUGAUUCUGGAGACCAGGGUUCGAAUCCUGCCUCUGCUA
This 72-nucleotide transfer RNA is filed under the name Phrynosoma platyrhinos (Desert horned lizard). Its description in RNAcentral is "tRNA-OTHER". The record is from RNAcentral. Lineage: Eukaryota; Metazoa; Chordata; Lepidosauria; Squamata; Phrynosomatidae.